RNAcentral lists this ribosomal RNA (1513 nucleotides) under bacterium. Its description in RNAcentral is "bacterial SSU rRNA". It matches the Rfam family "Bacterial small subunit ribosomal RNA". The record is from RNAcentral.
AGAGUUUGAUCCUGGCUCAGGAUGAACGCUGGCGGCGUGGAUAAGGCAUGCAAGUCGAGUGGGUUUAGACCCACGGCAAACGGGUUAGUAAUGCAUAGGAACUUUCCUUAAAGUCGUGAAUAAUCCGGAGAAAUCCGGAAUAACACACGAUGUGCUCUACGGAGUAAAGAUUUAUCGCUUUAAGAGAGGCCUAUGUCCUAUCAGCUUGUUGGUGAGGUAAUAGCUCACCAAGGCUAUGACGGGUAGGGGGCGUGAGAGCGUGACCCCCAACAUUGGGACUGAGACACUGCCCAAACACCUACGGGUGGCUGCAGUCGAGAAUAUUCCACAAUGGACGAAAGUCUGAUGGAGCGACGCCGCGUGCGGGAUGAAGGUCUUCGGAUUGUAAACCGCUUUUGUAAGGGAAGAAUUUCGAUGACGGUACCUUGCGAAUAAGAGGUUACUAACUCUGUGCCAGCAGUAGCGGUAAUACAGAGACCUCAAGCGUUAUCCGGAUUUAUUGGGCGUAAAGCGCAAGCAGGCGGACAUAUUAGUCAGAUGUCAAAUCCUCCGACUCAAUCGGAGAACUGCAUUUGAAACGGUAUGUCUAGAGGGAGUGAGAGAUCUAUGGAACUCAUGGUGUAGCAGUGAAAUGCGUUUAUAUCAUGAGGAACACCAAAGGCGAAGGCAUUAGAUUGGCACUUUCCUGACGCUCAGUUGCGAAAGCGUGGGUAGCGAAUGGGAUUAGAUACCCCAGUAGUCCACGCUGUAAACGAUGUAUAUUAGGCAUUGGAAGUAUCGACCCUUUCAGUGUCGUAGCUAACGCGUUAAAUAUACCGCCUGGGAAGUACGAGCGCAAGCUUAAAACUCAAAGGAAUAGACGGGGAUCCGCACAAGUGGAGGAUCAUGUGGUUUAAUUCGACGGUAAGCGAGAAACCUCACCAGGGCUUGAAACCUAGCUGCAUGUCCCAGAAAUGGGAAGGCCUUCGAGGGUGCUAGGCAGGUGCUGCAUGGUUGUCGUCAGCUCGUGUCGUAAGAUGUUCCGUUAAGUCGGGAAACGAGCGCAACCCCUGUCGUGUGUUAUAUGUGUCACACGAGACUGCCCAGACUAGAGAACGUGAAGCGCGUAGCGCGUAACCUGAAACGUUAUGUGUUCUACGUUGUACGCUUCGCGAAUUCCAGUCUGGGAGGAAGGAGGGGAUGACGUCAAAUCAGCAUGGCCCUUUGACGCCCUGGGCGACACACGUGAUACAAUGGCCGGUACAGAGGGUUGCCAAACCGCGAGGUGGAGCUAAUCCCAAAAAGCCGGUCUCAGUUCGGAUAGGAGUCUGCAACUCGACUCCUUGAAGUCGGAUUCACUAGUAAUCGGGAAUCAGAACGUCCCGGUGAAUACGUUCUCGGAUCUUGUACUCACCGCCCGUCACACCAAGAGAGUCGGUAACACCCGAAGGCCCCGGGUUAAAUCGGGGACAACGGUGGGAUCGAUAAUAAGGGUGAAGUCGUAACAAGGCAUCCGUAGCGGAAGCUGUGGAUG